UGGCAGACUUGUAUCACCAACAGAUUCUUUUU
This 32-nucleotide non-coding RNA is filed under the name Mus musculus (house mouse). Lineage: Eukaryota; Metazoa; Chordata; Mammalia; Rodentia; Muridae. The record is from RNAcentral.